AUGCAGUCGAACGAUGAUGCCCAGCUUGCUGGGCGGAUUAGUGGCGAACGGGUGAGUAACACGUGAGUAACCUGCCCCUGACUCUGGGAUAAGCGUUGGAAACGACGUCUAAUACUGGAUAUGAUCACCGGCCGCAUGGUCUGGUGGUGGAAAGAUUUUUUGGUUGGGGAUGGACUCGCGGCCUAUCAGCUUGUUGGUGAGGUAAUGGCUCACCAAGGCGACGACGGGUAGCCGGCCUGAGAGGGUGACCGGCCACACUGGGACUGAGACACGGCCCAGACUCCUACGGGAGGCAGCAGUGGGGAAUAUUGCACAAUGGGCGAAAGCCUGAUGCAGCAACGCCGCGUGAGGGAUGACGGCCUUCGGGUUGUAAACCUCUUUUAGUAGGGAAGAAGCGAAAGUGACGGUACCUGCAGAAAAAGCACCGGCUAACUACGUGCCAGCAGCCGCGGUAAUACGUAGGGUGCAAGCGUUGUCCGGAAUUAUUGGGCGUAAAGAGCUCGUAGGCGGUUUGUCGCGUCUGCUGUGAAAUCCCGAGGCUCAACCUCGGGCUUGCAGUGGGUACGGGCAGACUAGAGUGCGGUAGGGGAGAUUGGAAUUCCUGGUGUAGCGGUGGAAUGCGCAGAUAUCAGGAGGAACACCGAUGGCGAAGGCAGAUCUCUGGGCCGUAACUGACGCUGAGGAGCGAAAGCAUGGGGAGCGAACAGGAUUAGAUACCCUGGUAGUCCAUGCCGUAAACGUUGGGCGCUAGAUGUAGGGACCUUUCCACGGUUUCUGUGUCGUAGCUAACGCAUUAAGCGCCCCGCCUGGGGAGUACGGCCGCAAGGCUAAAACUCAAAGGAAUUGACGGGGGCCCGCACAAGCGGCGGAGCAUGCGGAUUAAUUCGAUGCAACGCGAAGAACCUUACCAAGGCUUGACAUACACCGGAAACGGCCAGAGAUGGUCGCCCCCUUGUGGUCGGUGUACAGGUGGUGCAUGGUUGUCGUCAGCUCGUGUCGUGAGAUGUUGGGUUAAGUCCCGCAACGAGCGCAACCCUCGUUCUAUGUUGCCAGCGGGUUAUGCCGGGGACUCAUAGGAGACUGCCGGGGUCAACUCGGAGGAAGGUGGGGAUGACGUCAAAUCAUCAUGCCCCUUAUGUCUUGGGCUUCACGCAUGCUACAAUGGCCGGUACAAAGGGCUGCGAUACCGUAAGGUGGAGCGAAUCCCAAAAAGCCGGUCUCAGUUCGGAUUGAGGUCUGCAACUCGACCUCAUGAAGUCGGAGUCGCUAGUAAUCGCAGAUCAGCAACGCUGCGGUGAAUACGUUCCCGGGCCUUGUACACACCGCCCGUCAAGUCAUGAAAGUCGGUAACACCCGAAGCCGGUGGCCUAACCC
Molecule: ribosomal RNA, 1374 nt
Filed under: Curtobacterium sp. UI7
Lineage: Bacteria; Bacillati; Actinomycetota; Actinomycetes; Micrococcales; Microbacteriaceae
Description: bacterial SSU rRNA
Rfam family: Bacterial small subunit ribosomal RNA
Source: RNAcentral